Hyaena hyaena (striped hyena) is the source of this 607-nucleotide long non-coding RNA. RefSeq lists it as uncharacterized. The record is from RefSeq and is a predicted model, not a curated record. NCBI's taxonomy places the organism in Eukaryota, Metazoa, Chordata, Mammalia, Carnivora, Hyaenidae. The transcript is spliced from 3 exons.
CUCAGAAUACACCAAGUUCCCUUCAGAAUCCACGAAGGUUCUGACCCUCUGACAUCAUGUCAACUCUCCUUGUCAGGCCCUACCUAUGAUCCCUGGGCACCCUCCUUAUUCUGCUCUCAUCAAUGGAAGUUUCCAGCAACCCAGCACACAACAAACCAGACUAACUUUACACCUUGUUCUGAAACAACACUUCUGAUUUACAGAAGAUUAAACCCAAAUAAAAGGACUAACAUUUCAAAGGAAGUAGAAGAAAUGCAAAAUAACUAAAGUGUUGGUUUCUUCACAAGUGAGAAGAGGAUUGGGAUGAGCACUGGGUGUCAUAUGGAAACCAACUUGACAAUAAACUAUUGAAAAAAAAGAGAGAAGAGGGGAACCUUUUUAAAUCCUGCAAUGAACCAAUGUGAAUAGCUUCUGCGACGUGUGGCUUCUGCGACGUGUGGCUCCGAACAGCCAGUCUGAAUAGGCAACCACGGUUAACUUCUGCAAAGGGUACCAGCAUCCCUGCUAUCAGAAGAGAAUCUCCAACUGAAAGUGUGUGAACAACAGCAAGUAUUGCUCUUGUGCCCUUCACCCGGGGACCGCCAUUAUUCUUGACAAGGAACACAGG